This 411-nucleotide ribosomal RNA is filed under the name bacterium Ellin5100. Its description in RNAcentral is "bacterial SSU rRNA". It matches the Rfam family "Bacterial small subunit ribosomal RNA", at positions 29 to 483 of the family's 1533-position model. Lineage: Bacteria; Pseudomonadati; Pseudomonadota; Alphaproteobacteria; Hyphomicrobiales; Nitrobacteraceae. The record is from RNAcentral.
AGCGAACGCUGGCGGCAGGCUUAACACAUGCAAGUCGAGCGGAUGUAGCAAUACAUCAGCGGCAGACGGGUGAGUAACACGUGGGAACGUACCUUUUGGUUCGGAACAACACAGGGAAACUUGUGUUAAUACCGGAUAAGCCCUUACGGGGAAAGAUUUAUCGCCGAAAGAUCGGCCCGCGUCUGAUUAGCUAGUUGGUGAGGUAACGGCUCACCAAGGCGACGAUCAGUAGCUGGUCUGAGAGGAUGAUCAGCCACAUUGGGACUGAGACACGGCCCAAACUCCUACGGGAGGCAGCAGUGGGGAAUAUUGGACAAUGGGCGCAAGCCUGAUCCAGCCAUGCCGCGUGAGUGAUGAAGGCCCUAGGGUUGUAAAGCUCUUUUGUGCGGGAAGAUAAUGACGGUACCGCAA